RNAcentral lists this RNase P RNA (378 nucleotides) under Desulfitobacterium metallireducens DSM 15288. RNAcentral describes it as "Bacterial RNase P class A". It matches the Rfam family "Bacterial RNase P class A". Rfam says of the family: Ribonuclease P (RNase P) is a ubiquitous endoribonuclease, found in archaea, bacteria and eukarya as well as chloroplasts and mitochondria. Lineage: Bacteria; Bacillati; Bacillota; Clostridia; Eubacteriales; Desulfitobacteriaceae. The record is from Rfam by way of RNAcentral.
GAAGUCAACCGGAUGGUCGCGGGGGUAAGAGCCGAAAGGCUGCCUCUGAGGAAAGUCCGGGCUCCAUAGGGCACGGUGCUGGAUAACGUCCAGUGGGGGAGACCCCAAGGAAAGUGCAACAGAGAUAUACCGCCUGGGUGUUCGUAAGGACACUCCGGUAAGGGUGGAAAGGCGAGGUAAGAGCUCACCGGCAACCUGGUGACAGGUUGGCCCUGCAAACCCCACCUGGAGCAAGACCGAAUAGGGGGACUAUGGAACGGCCCGUUCUCGUCCCCGGGUAAGGUCGCAUGAGGUCGUUGGUAACAGCGGCCCAAGAUAGAUGAUCAUCGCCUUCCGUAAGGAAGGAGACAAAACCCGGCUUAUAGGUUGACUUCGCCA